Phrynosoma platyrhinos (Desert horned lizard) is the source of this 72-nucleotide non-coding RNA. The record is from the annotation of a GenBank genome assembly. Lineage: Eukaryota; Metazoa; Chordata; Lepidosauria; Squamata; Phrynosomatidae.
GCCAGUGUGGUGCAGUGGUUUGAGCACUGAACUAUGAUUCUGGAGACCACGGUUCGAAUCUCUGCUCAGCCA